AUUGAUGAUGAAAUGAGCUGACCAAUGGCGCAAAGAUGCUCCUAAAUGCUGAUGUAUC
This 58-nucleotide small nucleolar RNA is filed under the name Homo sapiens (human). RNAcentral's name for it is "small nucleolar RNA, C/D box 158 (SNORD158)". Lineage: Eukaryota; Metazoa; Chordata; Mammalia; Primates; Hominidae. The record is from RNAcentral.